CAUUUCACCUGUGUGGUUGUAUGCCAGUUCCAUGGCCAUGUGGAUGGCAUAAGCUUCUGCUGAAAAUAUCGACGUCCCUUCUGCCAGACUGCCCGUUUCUUCGAUGUUCAGCGUGGGAAGGAUUGCCGCAUAGGGUCGAUUGCUGAUGUACUGGCAUUUCCACGCAGUGCCUGGCUGUAGGUUAGGUUGCUUGAUUGAUGUGAGUGGAACUUGGGGCAGCUUGACGAACUUGCUGGGUGAUUACCUUCGCAGUUUAUGCAACGAGCUGGCACUGUACAGUUAGGCAUAUUCUCGUGUUUACCACCGCAAUUGUUGCAUCUUACUUCGUCUCAACA
Molecule: long non-coding RNA, 335 nt
Organism: Daphnia magna
Lineage: Eukaryota; Metazoa; Arthropoda; Branchiopoda; Diplostraca; Daphniidae
Exons: 3
Source: RefSeq, a predicted model, not a curated record